GGUUCCAUAGCGUAAGGGUUAAUGCACCAUGAAUGCCUUUUGAGACCACAGAUUUCUGCGGAGAUUCCAGGUUUGAUUCCUGGCGGGGCCA
Non-coding RNA from Mycena maculata, 91 nucleotides. The record is from the annotation of a GenBank genome assembly. Lineage: Eukaryota; Fungi; Basidiomycota; Agaricomycetes; Agaricales; Mycenaceae.